This 502-nucleotide ribosomal RNA is filed under the name uncultured bacterium. RNAcentral's name for it is "partial 16S ribosomal RNA". It matches the Rfam family "Bacterial small subunit ribosomal RNA", at positions 28 to 507 of the family's 1533-position model. The record is from RNAcentral.
GACGAACGCUGGCGGCGUGCUUAACACAUGCAAGUCGAACGGUGAAGGGGUCUGCUUUUGUGGGCCCUGGAUGAGUGGCGAACGGGUGAGUAACACGUGAGUAACCUGCCCCCUUCUUCUGGAUAACCGCAUGAAAGUGUGGCUAAUACGGGAUAUUCUGGGUCUGUCGCAUGAUGGGUCUGGGAAAGAUUGCGCCUUUGGGUGUUGUUGGUGGGGGAUGGGCUCGCGGGCUAUCAGCUUGUUGGUGGGGUGAUGGCCUACCAAGGCGGUGACGGGUAGCCGGCCUGAGGGGGUGGGCGGUCACACUGGGACUGGGCCACGGCCCAGACUCCUACGGGAGGCAGCAGUGGGGGAUAUUGCACAAUGGGAGCAAGCCUGAUGCAGCGACGCCGCGUGAGGGAUGGAGGCCUUCGGGUUGUAAACCUCUUUCGCCAGUGAAGCAGGCCUGCUCCUUGUGGGUGGGUUGACGGUAGCUGGAAAAGAAGCGCCGGCUAACUACGUG